Molecule: non-coding RNA, 352 nt
Filed under: Actinotalea ferrariae CF5-4
Lineage: Bacteria; Bacillati; Actinomycetota; Actinomycetes; Micrococcales; Cellulomonadaceae
Description: Cellulomonas sp. Mn5-4 Bacterial small subunit ribosomal RNA
Rfam family: Bacterial small subunit ribosomal RNA
Source: Rfam by way of RNAcentral
GAACUGAAGAGUUUGAUCAUGGCUCAGAUUGAACGCUGGCGGCAGGCCUAACACAUGCAAGUCGAGCGGAUGAAGGGAGCUUGCUCCCGGAUUCAGCGGCGGACGGGUGAGUAAUGCCUAGGAAUCUGCCUGGUAGUGGGGGAUAACGUCCGGAAACGGGCGCUAAUACCGCAUACGUCCUGAGGGAGAAAGUGGGGGAUCUUCGGACCUCACGCUAUCAGAUGAGCCUAGGUCGGAUUAGCUAGUUGGUGGGGUAAAGGCCUACCAAGGCGACGAUCCGUAACUGGUCUGAGAGGAUGAUCAGUCACACUGGAACUGAGACACGGUCCAGACUCCUACGGGAGGCAGCAGU